RNAcentral lists this ribosomal RNA (467 nucleotides) under uncultured bacterium. RNAcentral describes it as "bacterial SSU rRNA". It matches the Rfam family "Bacterial small subunit ribosomal RNA", at positions 337 to 793 of the family's 1533-position model. The record is from RNAcentral.
UCCUACGGGAGGGAGCAGUGGGGAAUAUUGCACAAUGGGCGCAAGCCUGAUGCAGCCAUGCCGCGUGUAUGAAGAAGGCCUUACGGGUUGUAAAGUACUUUCAGCAGUGAGGAAGGUGGAUAUGUUAAUAGCAUAUUCAUUUGACGUUAGCUGCAGAAGAAGCACCGGCUAACUCCGUGCCAGCAGCCGCGGUAAUACGGAGGGUGCGAGCGUUAAUCGGAAUUACUGGGCGUAAAGCGCAUGCAGGUGGUUUGUUAAGUCAGAUGUGAAAGCCCCGGGGCUCAACCUCGGAAUUGCAUUUUGAAACUGGCAAACUAGAGUACUGUAGAGGGGGUAGAAUUUCAGGUGUAGCGGUGAAAUGCGUAGAGAUCUGAAGGAAUACCGGUGGCGAAGGCGGCCCCCCUGGACAGAUACUGACACUCAGAUGCGAAAGCGUGGGGAGCAAACAGGAUUAGAUACCCUGGUAG